AUGAACGCUGGCGGCGUGCCUAAUACAUGCAAGUCGAGCGAACAGAUGAGGAGCUUGCUCCUCUGACGUUAGCGGCGGACGGGUUAGUAACACGUGGAUAACCUACCUAUAAGACUGGGAUAACUUCGGGAAACCGGAGCUAAUACCGGAUAAUAUAUUGAACCGCAUGGUUCCAUAGUGAAAGACGGUUUUGCUGUCACUUAUAGAUGGAUCCGCGCCGCAUUAGCUAGUUGGUAAGGUAACGGCUUACCAAGGCAACGAUGCGUAGCCGACCUGAGAGGGUGAUCGGCCACACUGGAACUGAGACACGGUCCAGACUCCUACGGGAGGCAGCAGUAGGGAAUCUUCCGCAAUGGGCGAAAGCCUGACGGAGCAACGCCGCGUGAGUGAUGAAGGUCUUCGGAUCGUAAAACUCUGUUAUUAGGGAAGAACAAAUGUGUAAGUAACUAUGCACGUCUUGACGGUACCUAAUCAGAAAGCCACGGCUAACUACGUG
RNAcentral lists this ribosomal RNA (496 nucleotides) under uncultured bacterium. RNAcentral's name for it is "partial 16S ribosomal RNA". It matches the Rfam family "Bacterial small subunit ribosomal RNA", at positions 29 to 507 of the family's 1533-position model. The record is from RNAcentral.